RNAcentral lists this ribosomal RNA (2883 nucleotides) under Triticum aestivum (bread wheat). RNAcentral describes it as "partial small subunit ribosomal RNA". Lineage: Eukaryota; Viridiplantae; Streptophyta; Magnoliopsida; Poales; Poaceae. The record is from RNAcentral.
AUGAUCAUGCUCAGGUUUCUUGCCCAAGGAACCCUGAUAGCUUUGUCGUGCCUUCUCUUCUCGAUUCCACCAGCAGCCACAGCUUCCAUUCGUCCACCACCACCACCGCCGCCGCCAUCGGUGUCGAACGGGAGCUGCAUCGCGUAUGAGAGGGCCGCACUCCUCUCUAUCAGGGCGAGCCUCUGGAAUCCUAAUUUUGACUUCUCGUCAUGGCAAGGUGAAGACUGCUGCACAUGGAAGGGCGUCAGGUGCAGCUACAGAACCGGCCAUGUCGUCAAGCUCAACCUUCGGGGAAAGAGCAACUGUUACCCAGUCGAUGAAAACAGAGGUGAGAUAAGCCACUCCUUGGUCAGUUUGCAACAGUUGAGAUAUCUAGACAUGAGUUGCAAUAACUUCAACGGUGCCAAGAUACCCGAGUUCAUCGGUUCUUUGCCGAGCCUCAGAUAUCUCAACCUUUCAUACAACUGGUUCUACGGAAGAGUGCCGCCCCAGAUCGGGAACCUCUCCAAGCUUACCUACCUUGACCUCAAGCCCUCCGACUCGUUCAGUCUUGAGUUAUACUCAGGUGAUGUUCACUGGCUAUCACACUUGUCAUCACUGAAACACCUCGACUUGAGCCAUAUGAACCUUACCGCUGCAGUGGAUUGGGUCCAUCAAGUCAACAUGCUUCCCGCUCUUAGAAAGCUAUACCUCCAAUACACUGGCAUAAGAAAUAGGGUUGCUUUCCUUGGUCAGUCCAACCUCACGGCACUUGAGGUGCUUGAUAUCUCAGGGAACAAUUUCAGCACCACCAUUUCUCCCAACUGGUUUUGGAACACAACCAGCCUCACUUAUCUAAACUUGAAAGGUUGCAACUUUCGGGGCCCUAUUCCAGAUAGCAUAGGCAACAUGACCUCUCUUGAACAAGUUUAUUUCCAACGGAAUAAUCUUAUGGCCACCAUGAUACCGUACGGUUUCAGGAAUCUUUGCAGCUUGAAAAUACUAGAUCUUGAGCAGAGCAACACCUCGGGGGAUAUCACAGAGUUGAUGGAGCGGUUACCAAACUGUCCUUCCAACAUGUUGCAAAUUCUUGACUUCUCUUAUAACAAUAUUAGUGGGGCUUUGCCAAAUUGGCCAGGGCCGCUUACCAACCUAACAUAUUUGGUCCUCUCUGGUACUAACAUCACUGGACCUAUACCAGAAUGGAUAGGGGCACUCACCGAAUUGGUUAGUUUGGAGCUAGGUGGAAACAGACUAAAUGGUAUAGUUACUGAAUAUCAUCUAAAAGGCCUUAAAGAUUUGAAGUUCUUGGGGUUGCACAACACAGACCUUCAGAUAAAGGUCAGUCCGAAUUGGAUUCCUCCAUUCAAGCUACAAGCAAUUUUCUUAGCAUCUUUGCAGCUAGGACCGGCAUUCCCGCCAUGGCUUAGAUCACAGACAGGCCUUCAGCUCCUACAUAUGUCAAAUGCAAGCAUAACUGCAAUCCCAGCUUGGUUUUGGGUUGCAUUUUCAAGGACAAACUUCAUAGAUUUGUCAGAUAAUGAGAUAACCGGCACACUUCCAGCAACCUUGGAAUUUAUGAGUACACAAAAAAUGGUACUGUCCAAUAAUAGAUUGAUAGGUAUGGUGCCAAAAUUUCCAAGAAAUACCGAAUACAUGGACUUAUCAGGAAACUCUUUCUCUGGGACAUUGCCGUCAGAUUUUGCAGCCCCUUUAUUGGAGGAGCUUAUUCUUUAUAACAAUUCAAUAUCAGGCACCAUUCCAUCUUCAAUAUGCUCAUUGUCACAGUUGGUUGUGCUAGACCUAUCAGGAAACAAGCUUACAGGAGAAGUUCCAACUUGUGAAGAGGAUUCUAACUCGCAGAUGAGUAGUCUUCAUGUGGUAAAUUUAAAUACCAACAACCUCUCAGGAGAUUUCCCAAAAGUUCUUAGAAACUGCCAGUACCUUGUUUUUAUUGAUCUGUCUUAUAACAAAUUCUCCGGAGACCUACCCACAUGGAUGGGUGUGAACUUUCCGUACUUGGCACUCCUACGUCUGCGGUACAAUAUGUUUUCUGGAAAAAUUCCCGUAGAAAUUGGAAUGCUUCAAAGGCUGCAGUUUUUAGAUCUUGCACACAACAAGUUCUCAGGAAGCAUGCCAGACUCAUUAGUUAAGAUCAGCGCAAUGGCCCAAAGUUCUGGAUACAGUUAUGCUCUUUAUCAAGCGCUCUUGAGUGGCCAAGGGCUCCAGAUAUAUAACUCAGUAUAUGAUGGUGUUUAUUCCAUGGACAAAGUAUCAGUUCUUACUAAAGGGCAACAACUAGAAUUUUCUCUGCAAAUAUCUUACAUGGUGAUUCUUGAUUUAUCAAGCAACAGUCUAACCGGAGUGAUUCCUCGAGAUAUUGGUUGUCUCAUUGGAUUAAGAGGCCUGAACUUUUCAUGGAACAACUUAAGUGGGGAAAUCCCUAAGAAAAUUGGUGAGCUCAAGCAAUUGGAAUCACUUGACUUGUCAAACAAUGAGCUUUCCGGUGGAAUCCCUUCAAGCAUGGAAACCAUGACCUCUUUAAGCCAUAUGAACCUAUCGUACAACACUCUAUCCGGAAAGAUACCAUUAGGAAAUCAGCUCGGAACUUUCGACGCAUCUGCUUACAUUGGAAACAUUGGUCUGUGUGGUUUCCCCUUGACUCCCAGUUGUCUUGGAAACAGGUCAGGUCAACCAAGAUACAAAGAUGAUGGGGAUGGAUUGGAGGACAUAUCCCUUUACCUUGGUUUAACAGUUGGUUUUGCCUUUGGCUUCGGGGUGGUCUUUUGUGUGAUGUUGUUCAAAAAGAGAUGGAGAAUUUCUUAUUUCAUGUUUGUUGAAGGGCUGCAGGACAAGAUUUAUGUGGUCGUUGUACUAAAAUGGGCUAAUUUGAAAGAAAAUUAG